GAACGAGAAAGUGGAGCAAUCCAUGAGUAAAGUGGCGACCGGGUGAGUAACACGUGACUAACCUACCUCCAAGUGGGGAAUAACUCCGGGAAACCGGGGCUAAUACCGCAUAACAUCGCAAGAUCAAAGCAGCAAUGCGCUGGGAGAGGGGGUCGCGGCUGAUUAGCUAGUUGGCGGGGUAACGGCCCACCAAGGCGAAGAUCGGUAUCCGGCCUGAGAGGGCGCACGGACACACUGGAACUGAAACACGAUCCAGACUCCUACGGGAGGCAGCAGUGGGGAAUUUUGCGCAGUGGGGGAAACCCUGACGCAGCAACGCCGCGUGGAGGAUGAAGUCCCUUGGGACGUAAACUCCUUUCGACGGGGACGAAACCGCAAGGUCGACGGUACCCGUAGAAGAAGCCCCGGCUAACUCCGUG
RNAcentral lists this ribosomal RNA (419 nucleotides) under uncultured bacterium. Its description in RNAcentral is "bacterial SSU rRNA". It matches the Rfam family "Bacterial small subunit ribosomal RNA", at positions 64 to 507 of the family's 1533-position model. The record is from RNAcentral.